Molecule: microRNA, 21 nt
Filed under: Dictyostelium discoideum
Lineage: Eukaryota; Evosea; Eumycetozoa; Dictyosteliales; Dictyosteliaceae
Description: ddi-miR-7101
Source: miRBase by way of RNAcentral
UUAGUUGAACAUCAAUUGUGG